CUGAGGACGUCGCUCAGCCUCCCUGUUCAGCUGAGGUCGUCGCUCAGCCCGCCUGUUCAGCUGAGGUCGCCGCUCAGACCGCCUGUUCAGCUGAGGACGUCGCUCACCCCGCCUGUUCAGCUGAGGACUCAGCUGAACAGGCGGGCUGAGCGACGACCUCAGCUGAACAGGCGGGCUGAGCGACGACCUCAGCUGAACAGGGAGGCUGAGCGAC
This is a small nucleolar RNA of Ictalurus furcatus (blue catfish), 214 nucleotides long. RefSeq annotates it as small nucleolar RNA SNORD17. NCBI's taxonomy places the organism in Eukaryota, Metazoa, Chordata, Actinopteri, Siluriformes, Ictaluridae. The transcript has a single exon. The record is from RefSeq and is a predicted model, not a curated record.